This 72-nucleotide transfer RNA is filed under the name Pangasianodon hypophthalmus (striped catfish). RNAcentral's name for it is "tRNA-Glu". Lineage: Eukaryota; Metazoa; Chordata; Actinopteri; Siluriformes; Pangasiidae. The record is from RNAcentral.
UCCCUGGAAGACUAGUGGUUAGGCCACAGCGCGCUCACCCCUGUGGCGCAGGUUCGACUCCCGGCCAGGGAA